Molecule: long non-coding RNA, 1057 nt
Organism: Rhineura floridana
Lineage: Eukaryota; Metazoa; Chordata; Lepidosauria; Squamata; Rhineuridae
Exons: 4
Source: RefSeq, a predicted model, not a curated record
GGAGGUCCUUAAGGUAUCCUAGAUCCAAGUUACUGACAGUCUUGUAAAUUAAUACAAGAACCUUGAACCUGGCUUGGUAGCAUAUGGGCAGUCAGUAUAAGCUUUUAAGCACCAGCUUAUAGUUCAGAUCAUGCAUAGCCUCUCCUGGCUUAGAUGUUAUAGAGAAAUAGAGCUGUGUGUCAUCAGCAUACUGAUGGCACUUUGCCCCCAGACUCCUAAUGGCUGCUUCUAAUGACUUCAUGCAGAUGUUGAACAGCAUUGGGAGCACUCAAUUUUCCACCCUAAGAGCAGGAGAGGCUUGAAGUGGCCCUUCAACAGUUAGCAUUAUGGCAGAAGACUGAAUGAGCACAUAGGCCAUCUGUUCAUAGUAUUCCUCGCUAUGGAGCAGCUUGCAAAGGAAGUACAGGUAUAGGAACAAAGUGAAUGAUGCCUUGUGCAUUUAAUAACUGUGUUGCUGGCACAAAUUAAAUAGGAUGUUCUGUUGCUGAGCUGUGGCCUCCUUCCCCACAAUAUCAUCCUAAAUCCCUGUUCAUGACCAAGCCAAGUGGCACAGAAGUCAUGCCAACAUGAAUUUUACUACAUCAAAUCCCACCUCAUCCAAUGUUCAGUAGGAGGUGAUGCCCACUCUGACAUCAUAAAGCCAAAGAGACGGGCCUUGGGCGUUGGUGCCUAGCAAGUAUGCAUAUGAAGCCCUAAACAACUCUGGAUCAGGUUACAUCAAAGACCAUCUUCCCCUCCAUUGCCUAAUAAAGGCCUUAAGUUCAACAAAUGGAACCUGAUUAAUUUUAGCAUGGCCCGCCUGAUGAUGAUCAGCUUGUGGUAACACAGAGGCAGGCUUUUUUUGCUGAUGACCCCCAUGUUAUGGUAGGCUGUCUCCCUGCUGAAAAACAGGAGGUCCCAUCCACAUUGGCAUUCCACCUGCUCUUGAAGACACACCUGUUUAAACAAGCAUUACCCCGAUCUCCUGACUUGAACCAGAUGCUUUAAUUGUUUUAAUUGCUGUUUUAACUCUUUUAAUUGCUGUGUUGUUUUAAUGGGCUUGUUUUACUGUACAAUU